Long non-coding RNA from Carassius carassius (crucian carp), 637 nucleotides. RefSeq lists it as uncharacterized. Lineage: Eukaryota; Metazoa; Chordata; Actinopteri; Cypriniformes; Cyprinidae. The transcript has 2 exons. The record is from RefSeq and is a predicted model, not a curated record.
AGAAGUCUGCUUGUGUGAGGAGGAGGUUUUCUCAGCUUCUUCUGACGAGAGGGAAAGAUAGUUUAAGGCAAGUAAACUUUAUAAUUUCAUGUUAUCAGUUGUUGUUUUUUUUUUUUUUUUACUAAGAGUAAAAUAAUGUUUGUUUUUUGUUUUUGUAGAUGUUAAAAGCCAGAGACAUGGGAGAGCACCAUUCUUUUGAGAUUUUAUGUAAGUUAUUUUUAGAAAAUAAAUGUUUCUGUUGUCUCCUGUCGGUUUACUUCACAUUUUGAUGCAACAACAGUGUGAUUACUGGCUCAUUUCACUAAAACCAUUGAUGUCUGUGUUUUUCAUUGCGGAACUCAAACCAACUUUGGAGUUGUCUGAUUUGGGGAGUCAUCACUCUUGGUCUUCCCUCUUAAAGGCGGUGACUGGGAUGAAUACUGGUCAGAGAAGAUAUUGUCCUUUCCUCUAAACUGAUGCAGCAGUGGUUUUAAAGGAGGACGCUGCCCUGGAUGAUGUAGAUGUCACAUGCUGUGCUGAUGGAGCUUCUUCAUGACUACAUCAAUUAUGCUAAAGAGAUCAUGAAAGUUGACAGUGAUGCAUGAUCUGUAUUCAUGGACUAUGAAACAAACUGUAAGUGUAUAAUUUGUAAAAACAA